CGUGCGUCCGUUAUAGCUCAGUCGGCAGAGCGUGGUGCUGAUAACGCCAAGGUCGUGAGUUCGACCCUCACAUGCACGG
Molecule: non-coding RNA, 79 nt
Organism: Desmophyllum pertusum
Lineage: Eukaryota; Metazoa; Cnidaria; Anthozoa; Scleractinia; Caryophylliidae
Source: the annotation of a GenBank genome assembly